RNAcentral lists this ribosomal RNA (253 nucleotides) under uncultured bacterium. Its description in RNAcentral is "partial 16S ribosomal RNA". It matches the Rfam family "Bacterial small subunit ribosomal RNA", at positions 524 to 776 of the family's 1533-position model. The record is from RNAcentral.
UACAGAGGUCUCAAGCGUUGUUCGGAUUCAUUGGGCGUAAAGGGCGCGUAGGCUGCGGGGUAAGUCGGGUGUGAAAUCUCAGAGCUCAACUCUGAAACUGCACUCGAUACUGCUUUGCUUGAGGACUGGAGAGGAGAUUGGAAUUCACGGUGUAGCAGUGAAAUGCGUAGAUAUCGUGAGGAAGACCAGUGGCGAAGGCGGAUCUCUGGACAGUUCCUGACGCGGAGGCACGAAGGCCAGGGGAGCAAACGGG